UACAGAGGUCCCGAGCGUUGUUCGGAUUCAUUGGGCGUAAAGGGUGUGUAGGAGGUCAGGUAAGUCGGGCGUGAAAUCUCACCGCUUAACGGUGAAAUUGCGUUCGAUACUGCUUGGCUAGAGGAUUUGAGGGGGUAACGGAAUUCUUGGUGUAGCAGUGAAAUGCGUAGAUAUCAAGAGGAACACCAGUGGCGAAGGCGGUUACCUGGAAAAUUCCUGACUCUGAAACACGAAAGCUAGGGGAGCAAACGGG
RNAcentral lists this ribosomal RNA (253 nucleotides) under uncultured bacterium. RNAcentral's name for it is "partial 16S ribosomal RNA". It matches the Rfam family "Bacterial small subunit ribosomal RNA", at positions 524 to 776 of the family's 1533-position model. The record is from RNAcentral.